Molecule: non-coding RNA, 72 nt
Organism: Phrynosoma platyrhinos (Desert horned lizard)
Lineage: Eukaryota; Metazoa; Chordata; Lepidosauria; Squamata; Phrynosomatidae
Source: the annotation of a GenBank genome assembly
GGCAGCAUGGCGUAGUGGUUUAGGUGCUGGACUAUGGCUCUGGAGACCAGGGUUCGAAUCCCUGCUCUGCAA